UUCUUUGUAUCAAAAGAUUGAAGAAAGCAGAAACAGAGAAUAAAAAAAAGUUUUGAAGGUAUUGAGAUUGGUUCCGUUUUUCCUUUCUCUUUACUGUUUUGUACCUUUUUUUUAUUUUCUUCCUUGUUUUUAAAAACAAAUAAACGAAAGAACGAGGGAAAAGGAGAAGUUUCUUACCGGCAGAGGCGCGCCGUCGGCAUUCUUGCUGACUUCGGCGUGAGGAGCAAGAGGGGGCUUGGACCUUGCGGCUGUUGUGAUUGCAAAUUGAAUAGGGUGUUCAUUU
RNAcentral lists this long non-coding RNA (283 nucleotides) under Gossypium raimondii (Peruvian cotton). RNAcentral describes it as "long non-coding RNA (GRAI_LNC010100)". The record is from RNAcentral. Lineage: Eukaryota; Viridiplantae; Streptophyta; Magnoliopsida; Malvales; Malvaceae.